CAGUCGCCGCAGUAAUACGAAGGGUGCAAGCGUUACUCGGAAUUACUGGGCGUAAAGCGUGCGUAGGUGGUGGUUUAAGUCCGUUGUGAAAGCCCUGGGCUCAACCUGGGAAUUGCAGUGGAUACUGGGUCACUAGAGUGUGGUAGAGGAUAGUGGAAUUUCCGGUGUAGCAGUGAAAUGCGUAGAGAUCGGAAGGAACAUCUGUGGCGAAGGCGACUAUCUGGGCCAACACUGACACUGAGGCACGAAAGCGUGGGGAGCAAACAGGAUUAGAGACCCCCGUAGUCCCUGUCUCUUAUAC
This 301-nucleotide ribosomal RNA is filed under the name uncultured bacterium. Its description in RNAcentral is "partial 16S ribosomal RNA". It matches the Rfam family "Bacterial small subunit ribosomal RNA", at positions 509 to 807 of the family's 1533-position model. The record is from RNAcentral.